RNAcentral lists this ribosomal RNA (427 nucleotides) under uncultured Chlamydiae bacterium. Its description in RNAcentral is "bacterial SSU rRNA". It matches the Rfam family "Bacterial small subunit ribosomal RNA", at positions 958 to 1385 of the family's 1533-position model. Lineage: Bacteria; Pseudomonadati; Chlamydiota; Chlamydiia. The record is from RNAcentral.
AACGCGAAGAACCUUACCCAGGCUUGACAUGCACUGGACAGUUCCAGAAAUGGAAUCUCCCUUCGGGGCCGGUGCACAGGUGCUGCAUGGCUGUCGUCAGCUCGUGCCGUGAGGUGUUUGGUUAAGUCCAGCAACGAGCGCAACCCUUAUCAUUAGUUGCCAACGCGUAAAGGCGGGAACUCUAAUGAGACUGCCCGGGUUAACCGGGAGGAAGGUGAGGAUGACGUCAAGUCCGCAUGGCCCUUAUGUCUGGGGCUACACACGUGCUACAAUGGUCGGUACAGAAGGCAGCGAAACCGCGAGGCGGAGCAAAUCCCUAAAACCGAUCUCAGUUCAGAUUGUAGUCUGCAACUCGACUACAUGAAGACGGAAUUGCUAGUAAUGGCAGGUCAGCAACACUGCCGUGAAUACGUUCCCGGGCCUUGUA